Molecule: ribosomal RNA, 253 nt
Filed under: uncultured bacterium
Lineage: Bacteria
Description: partial 16S ribosomal RNA
Rfam family: Bacterial small subunit ribosomal RNA
Source: RNAcentral
UACGUAGGGCGCAAGCGUUAUCCGGAAUUAUUGGGCGUAAAGAGCUCGUAGGCGGUUUGUCGCGUCUGCCGUGAAAGUCCGGGGCUCAACUCCGGAUCUGCGGUGGGUACGGGCAGACUAGAGUGAUGUAGGGGAGACUGGAAUUCCUGGUGUAGCGGUGAAAUGCGCAGAUAUCAGGAGGAACACCAACAGCGAAGGCAGAUCUCUGGGACGUAACUGACGCUGAGACGCGAAAGCGUGGGGAGCAAACAGG